RNAcentral lists this ribosomal RNA (497 nucleotides) under uncultured bacterium. RNAcentral describes it as "partial 16S ribosomal RNA". It matches the Rfam family "Bacterial small subunit ribosomal RNA", at positions 28 to 507 of the family's 1533-position model. The record is from RNAcentral.
GAUGAACGCUGGCGGCGUGCCUAAUACAUGCAAGUCGAGCGAACGGACGAGGAGCUUGCUUUUCUGAUGUUAGCGGCGGACGGGUGAGUAACACGUGGAUAACCUACCUAUAAGACUGGGAUAACUUCGGGAAACCGGAGCUAAUACCGGAUAAUAUUUUGAACCGCAUGGUUCAAAAGUGAAAGACGGUCUUGCUGUCACUUAUAGAUGGAUCCGCGCUGCAUUAGCUAGUUGGUAAGGUAACGGCUUACCAAGGCAACGAUGCAUAGCCGACCUGAGAGGGUGAUCGGCCACACUGGAACUGAGACGCGGUCCAGACUCCUACGGGAGGCAGCAGUAGGGAAUCUUCCGCAAUGGGCGAAAGCCUGACGGAGCAACGCCGCGUGAGUGAUGAAGGUCUUCGGAUCGUAAAACUCUGUUAUUAGGGAAGAACAUAUGUGUAAGUAACUGUGCACAUCUUGACGGUACCUAAUCAGAAAGCCACGGCUAACUACGUG